UCUCGAAAGGGAUGCUAAUACCGCAUACGUCCUACGGGAGAAAGCAGGGGAUCUUCGGACCUUGCGCUAAUAGAUGAGCCUAAGUCGGAUUAGCUAGUUGGUGGGGUAAAGGCCUACCAAGGCGACGAUCUGUAGCGGGUCUGAGAGGAUGAUCCGCCACACUGGGACUGAGACACGGCCCAGACUCCUACGGGAGGCAGCAGUGGGGAAUAUUGGACAAUGGGGGGAACCCUGAUCCAGCCAUGCCGCGUGUGUGAAGAAGGCCUUAUGGUUGUAAAGCACUUUAAGCGAGGGGGAGGCUACUUUAGAUAAUACCUAGAGAUAGUGGACGUUACUCGCAGAAUAAGCACCGGCUAACUCUGUGCCAGCAGCCGCGGUAAUACAGAGGGUGCAAGCGUUAAUCGGAUUUACUGGGCGUAAAGCGCGCGUAGGCGGCUAAUUAAGUCAAAUGUGAAAUCCCCGAGCUUAACUUGGGAAUUGCAUUCGAUACUGGUUAGCUAGAGUGUGGGAGAGGAUGGUAGAAUUCCAGGUGUAGCGGUGAAAUGCGUAGAGAUCUGGAGGAAUACCGAUGGCGAAGGCAGCCAUCUGGCCUAACACUGACGCUGAGGUGCGAAAGCAUGGGGAGCAAACAGGAUUAGAUACCCUGGUAGUCCAUGCCGUAAACGAUGUCUACUAGCCGUUGGGGCCUUUGAGGCUUUAGUGGCGCAGCUAACGCGAUAA
This 720-nucleotide ribosomal RNA is filed under the name uncultured bacterium. Its description in RNAcentral is "bacterial SSU rRNA". It matches the Rfam family "Bacterial small subunit ribosomal RNA", at positions 149 to 863 of the family's 1533-position model. The record is from RNAcentral.